Molecule: long non-coding RNA, 1427 nt
Organism: Gallus gallus (chicken)
Lineage: Eukaryota; Metazoa; Chordata; Aves; Galliformes; Phasianidae
Source: Ensembl
AGAGCAGGAGUGGCAAUCAUGUUUCUCCAUUUCUCUUGUUAUUUUAGAAUCUCACCCUGGAAGAAUCCCAUUCUUUGGCCUACAAAAGGUGAACGACAACAUGCAUAGAUUUUUAUGUUUCUGCUUAAAUAAAGCAUCACCACAGAGGAAGACUGGACAGAAAAGGUAAAAGCCAGUGAUGCCAUGUAUGCAGUGCUGCAUCCCUCCUUGCCAUGGGAGAGAUUUACAGUUGCAUCAUGCAUCUUGCUGGACUGUCAAACUGACAGGGGGAGAAAGCAAUUAAAGGAUAACAUCAGUGUAUCAGCGCUAAUAAUUUAUAAGAUACACAUUUAUAUUAACAGGGCAUACGUUAGUAUUUACAAGAAGUGAUAUGGGAGAUAAAUGUUGAUGGAAACAUAAACUGUAAAAUUGGUGUGACAGUAGAAUCCAUGGAACAUGGUCAGACUUGGAGCUCAGCGUGGGACAAGGAGGCCGUUGGAACCACCUGCUGUGUGUUUGGCUCACAACGGUCAUCGAAGGACUGAACAAGAGAGAUUAGGACCCAUGUGAACUGAUUGAUCGUGUGGGUUAUAUACCAGCCCAGUGCUCCUAGGACUUUUUCUGUGUGAGAUCUGUGCCCUCCUGGAAGGUUUUUGAAGAGGCAACGAUAACUGCUUGAAAGCCAUGUGCAUAGUUUAUGGCAGUGUGGUUUACUUCUACAGAACAGUAUCUAAACUGGAGUGAAAAAACAAGCAGUGGAGAGGACGAUACCUCAGCCCACUGCAGGGUCCUUACUGUUGGAGUACCCUGCAUAGGCUCCCAGGUAAAUGCUUAGGCAUCUCAGCUGGUUUGGCUCCUCACAUCUUUGACUAUUAAACCCUGUCCUACUUUUGGUGACUUUGUUGUGCUUUUGUUAUCUAGGACUACAGGCAAUCAGUGCCAGCUGCAUGCUUAUUAUUUGGAAUUGGAUCUUUAAUUUUUAUAUGAAUUAUCUGCAGCUUACACUUGAUCUGCCAGCUCAGCAGCACAAUAUCACUUAAGCUACAUGCUGUAUGUCUCAGGAAUGAUUGUAACGGGGUUGGAUCUUUGUGAGCAAGACAGAAAUCAUGCCUUCUACUAGCACACUUUAAAAGGUACUUGUUAAGAUUUAAUUUAGAACACAGUAUAGAAGGUGUCUCAUCCUUUCCAAAGACUGGUGACAUCUUGAGAAGAACACAGUUUAUGAAGGUAGAUGUUGCUCCCUCAGCUGCUAACUCUUAAAUGAGGGUAAGGAGGGGGGGACCCCAGGUCCACCUAUUCCAGUCUCUUAGGAACUCUGCUUGCACCCGAGCUCCCUGGGUUAGCCACACCUUCUCACCAGGUGCUCAGUCAUCGGUUCAGGCCAUGACCUAGCAAUUCCCAUGCAAAUGGUAAGAAAUUACUGAGCAAUUACAAAUAAAUAAAUAAAU